Molecule: ribosomal RNA, 544 nt
Filed under: uncultured bacterium
Lineage: Bacteria
Description: bacterial SSU rRNA
Rfam family: Bacterial small subunit ribosomal RNA
Source: RNAcentral
GGCGUGCCAAACACAUGCAAGUCGAACGAGAAAGUGGAGCAAUCCAUGAGUACAGUGGCGUACGGGUGAGUAACACGUGACUAACCUACCCUCGAGUGGGGAAUAACUUCGGGAAACCGAGGCUAAUACCGCAUAACAUCUACGGAUCAAAUGCGCAAGCAGCUUGAGGAGGGGGUCGCGGCUGAUUAGCUAGUUGGCGGGGUAACGGCCCACCAAGGCAAUGAUCAGUAGCCGGCCUGAGAGGGCGCACGGCCACACUGGAACUGAAACACGGUCCAGACUCCUACGGGAGGCAGCAGUGGGGAAUUUUGCGCAAUGGGGGAAACCCUGACGCAGCAACGCCGCGUGGAGGAUGAAGCCCCUUGGGGUGUAAACUCCUUUCGAUCGGGACGAUUAUGACGGUACCGGAUGAAGAAGCACCGGCUAACUCUGUGCCAGCAGCCGCGGUAAUACAGAGGGUGCAAGCGUUGUUCGGAAUUAUUGGGCGUAAAGGGUGCGUANGCGGUGCGGUAAGUCUUCUGUGAAACCUCCGGGCUUAACUCGG